CCUACGGGUGGCAGCAGUGGGGAAUAUUGCACAAUGGGCGCAAGCCUGAUGCAGCCAUGCCGCGUGUGUGAAGAAGGCCUUCGGGUUGUAAAGCACUUUCAGCGGGGAGGAAGGCGGUGAGGUUAAUAACCUCAUCGAUUGACGUUACCCGCAGAAGAAGCACCGGCUAACUCCGUGCCAGCAGCCGCGGUAAUACGGAGGGUGCAAGCGUUAAUCGGAAUUACUGGGCGUAAAGCGCACGCAGGCGGUCUGUCAAGUCGGAUGUGAAAUCCCCGGGCUCAACCUGGGAACUGCAUUCGAAACUGGCAGGCUAGAGUCUUGUAGAGGGGGGUAGAAUGCCAGGUGUAGCGGUGAAAUGCGGAGAGAUCUGGAGGAAUACCGGUGGCGAAGGCGGCCCCCUGGACAAAGACUGACGCUCAGGUGCGAAAGCGUGGGGAGCAAACAGGAUUAGAUACCCCGGUAGUC
Molecule: ribosomal RNA, 465 nt
Filed under: uncultured Klebsiella sp.
Lineage: Bacteria; Pseudomonadati; Pseudomonadota; Gammaproteobacteria; Enterobacterales; Enterobacteriaceae
Description: bacterial SSU rRNA
Rfam family: Bacterial small subunit ribosomal RNA
Source: RNAcentral